AUGCUCGAAGGCAUAGUUUUUGCUUUGGCUGAGUUAAAAAAAUGUCCAAAGUGUUCAUCCACGAGGUGCACUACUAAUGAUCUGUUGCCAAAUUUGUCACUUCGUAAGGCCAUCAAACAUUUUCUUGAUGACCCAGGACCUAUCUAUGCACCUGAUGUAGGAUCAUGUGUAGAAGAAAAGGAGUCAUCAUGUCCAUUGUCGAUUCACCAACAAGAACAAAACUUGCUUUGUUCUCCAUCUGCCACUGGAAAAGACUUCAAUCAGCUCAUACCAAUUGUAAAGGUGAUUGAAAAAAGCUCCAGUAUUAAAAUCUGUCUAGAUGGAAAUAAACCAACUGAAACAGCUUCAACACUCCCCCGAGAAGCACCUAGGAAUUCUGAUUUUCAAGGAAGUGCAAGCUCCUCAAAGGUGUACCAAAAUAUCGCACAAGAUAGUGGUGACUUGCGUACUGUUGAAGCCAAAGCAUUGAGGAUAAGUUCUUGGGAUGGAAGAGGAUUUACCACACCAGCGAUAAGGGCAAGAAAGGGUGGGCGAACUUGUUACAGGUGCGGGUCUCCAAAUCACCUGAUCAGAUAUUGUCCGGUUGCAUCAAAUGUACAAUCAGAAGAUAGUGCACUCCACGGAGAUCCAUAUGGUCGACCUAAUUGGCAGGGUUCUAUGUUUCACCCUCUUCUGCCAUAUGGUAAUAUGCAUGGCACACCUGAGAUCAUUCCAUUUGAUCCAGGAGUUGUCCCGGUCUCACCUUUUGGAGUUCCUCCAUAUAUGCCAUCAUUUUAUGGAGGCAUGCAGAAUCCAUAUGCUUUUAUGGGAAUGAGAGGUAUGCCGUCUCCAAUGCUACUGGGGGUACAACUACCCUUGUCAUAUACAGGAUUGGGUAUUCAUGAUAAUGUUAAGAGUCAGAAUGCUCCAAGUGAAAGGGGAGUGAGGGAGAAUGACUAUGACAGUAAUUCAGCGGAUUAUCAUGAUGAGGAUGGUAGAACAUCACAAGAGCAAUAUCAACCAGAAAAGAGUUAUGAAAGGGGUUACCAUGAAAGUAACACAACAGUUCAAAAAAGGCACCACAAGGAUAAAUAUUGUAGCCCUACCCAUGAGAAUCUGUGUUAUUCAUCAGAUGUCGAAUUAGUUGAUCAGAAACAUCGAAAGGAAUUGGGCUCAUAUGGAAGAGAAAUGAGGAGCCACUACACCAAGCAAUCUACUUCCGAAGUGCAUGACAUCCCUAACAUCUCUAUCCACGAUACUAGGCAGAUGAACAAGCAGCAUGAUAGAAGUGCUUCAGGAAAAAGAGAUGAAAUUAGGGCAAAAGGCAAAAGUGAGUACACUGAAAAUACUCGUCAUCAAAGUCAUAAAGAAAAUAUUCGCGUGGAUAGGUCAGAUGACAGGGCACAAAUCUAG
This 1392-nucleotide ribosomal RNA is filed under the name Triticum aestivum (bread wheat). Its description in RNAcentral is "partial small subunit ribosomal RNA". Lineage: Eukaryota; Viridiplantae; Streptophyta; Magnoliopsida; Poales; Poaceae. The record is from RNAcentral.